Molecule: long non-coding RNA, 297 nt
Filed under: Salvator merianae (Argentine black and white tegu)
Lineage: Eukaryota; Metazoa; Chordata; Lepidosauria; Squamata; Teiidae
Description: lncRNA (ENSSMRG00000023470.1)
Source: RNAcentral
GGAAAGGGAACAAGAGACAGAGACUUAUGCUAGCAUCCUGCUUCCUGAAUGAUACACAGCUUAGAAUACUGUUAUCUAGAAAUGACAGAAAAAGAACAUGGACAAUUGUUUUUCUUUCAGAACUUUGUAACUAUGACAACCUCUACAAGGAGGCGAAAAAUAGUAAAUAUUAUUUUACAGAUGCUGUUGGAAUCUCUUUCCCACAAGAAGUAUGGAUAAUUCCAGACCGUAUGACUUUAAGAAGCAAGUGUGCUGUGAGUAUUGCAAGUUCUUUAUACAAAUUGCUUUGGAACCUCC